This 398-nucleotide ribosomal RNA is filed under the name uncultured eukaryote. RNAcentral's name for it is "partial small subunit ribosomal RNA". It matches the Rfam family "Eukaryotic small subunit ribosomal RNA", at positions 587 to 972 of the family's 1831-position model. The record is from RNAcentral.
AGCUCCAAUAGCGUAUAUUAAAGUUGUUGCAGUUAAAAAGCUCGUAGUUGGAUUUCUGAAUGGAUGUUUCGGUCCAUUUGCUUUUUUGGCAUUUGUGUACUAUGAAAUGUCUGUUCAUUUUUGUGAGAGAAUUUUUCUGCCAUUAAGUUGGUGGGAUUACAAUCUUGCAUCGUUUACUGUGAAAAAAUUAGAGUGUUUAAAGCAGGCUUUGGCCAAAUCUUGAAUACAUUAGCAUGGAAUAAUAAGAUAUGACUUUGGUGGUCUAUUUUGUUGGUUUGCACACCAGAGUAAUGAUUAAUAGGGACAGUUGGGGGUAUUUAUAUUCCAUCGUCAGAGGUGAAAUUCUUGGAUCGAUGGAAGAUAAACUAAUGCGAAAGCAUUUAUCAAGGAUGUUUUCA